CUUUUUUUUUUUUUCCUUUUUCUGGAGAACGGGGUCUCGCUAUAUUGCCCAGGCAGGUCUCGAACUCCUGGGCUCAAGCUAUCCUCCCGCCUCUUAGCCUCCCUGAGAGCUGGGAUUACAGGCGUGAGCCACCGCACUUGGCCCUUUUCUUCUAUUUGAAUUUAUGAAAAGUUGUAGAUGUCAACUUGAAAAUGUACAAGGAGGUACAGAGUUGGUUUUUGUUUUUUGGUUUUUUUAGAGAGGGUCUUGCUCUGUCACCCAGGCUGGAGUACAGCAGUGCAAUCACACCUCACUGCAGCCUUCAUCUCCCAGGCUCAAGUGAUCCUCCUGCUUUGGUCUCCUGAGUAGCUAGGACUACAGGCAUGCACCAC
This 371-nucleotide long non-coding RNA is filed under the name Homo sapiens (human). RNAcentral describes it as "HSALNT0367015". The record is from RNAcentral. Lineage: Eukaryota; Metazoa; Chordata; Mammalia; Primates; Hominidae.